GAGUCUCUCUAUUGGAAGGGGAAAAUAUAAUAUUAGACACCAUUUAUUUUUCUGCUCGCUGAUGCAUGCAAUGUAUCAUUUGGCCUUGAUUUAAUGUACUGCACUUUUCUUCAUUGCUCUCUGUUCUUUAAUAAGUCAGACUCAUAUAGAACCUGAUAUUUCUUAGUGAUGUCUUCAGAUCCCAUGAAUGUCAUUUUGCACCGAAGGUUUGUAACCAUUGGGGAAUGUUUUCUUGCUCUGAUGUAUCAAGUUUCCAUGGGGGUGAUCUAGAGGUCUCUUCCUUGUCCAAAGUAUGUCAUACCUAAUCAAGACAUGUUCAUUUAAUUUACCCGUCAUGUAAAUGACACAACAUGAUUCACUUGUGUAUAGUGUAAAAAUAUAUUUAUUUAUGGUACACAGGUGUUCAAAUUAUAGUUGUGAAACGUGUAUAGUGUAAAAAUAUAAUUAUUAAGGGAUGUGACGUCACAGUGGUCGUGCCUCGUCU
Molecule: non-coding RNA, 484 nt
Organism: Aegilops tauschii subsp. strangulata
Lineage: Eukaryota; Viridiplantae; Streptophyta; Magnoliopsida; Poales; Poaceae
Source: RefSeq, a predicted model, not a curated record